This is a long non-coding RNA of Pezoporus flaviventris, 3358 nucleotides long. RefSeq lists it as uncharacterized. The record is from RefSeq and is a predicted model, not a curated record. The transcript has 4 exons. Lineage: Eukaryota; Metazoa; Chordata; Aves; Psittaciformes; Psittacidae.
CGGCAGACUGCACAUAGCUGCUCGCGGGCGCUGAGGGGCUGGUGGUGUGAGCGAGGGAGCCAGGCAUCGCUAUGUGGUGGUGAAGCGUGUCAGCGCGCCGACACACUGAUACAGGGCAGCAGCAAAGCUCGGUGCGGAGUCACUUCGUCGAUUAAAUAGUGAGAAAUGCAGCAAACUGGGCUCUUUCGUGGGUGAUAUUUUACAUAAAGCUGCGCCUGAUCGAGGAAAAGCUUCUACUGACUGCGAGUUGGAUCAGGCACAACAGUAGAAACAGAUUGUGGAAGUUAGUUACACCAGUGUCUGCAACAUCAGUCUCCAGCGCUGAGAUCGUGCUGUUAUUCAAAAGCACAAACAGGGAGUGAACAAAGAUAACAGUGCCCCAGCUGCACAAUGCAAACUCAUCCAGCUCUACCCAUUCGCCAAGGGUUGACUGAGUGCCCACAUCCUCCAGAAUAUCUCAUGGUGGGCACAGACUGUGUCGGUGGCCUCUUGACUUGCUGCUGAGCUGCAUUAUUGAGAUGAGAGCUGCUGAGAGCCAUAGCCAACAGCAUUAAGGGCCCUGCAGCUCAUCUGAACACUGGCCACACAGUGCUGCAAAUGGGCGAGGAUGGACAUUUUGGAUAGAAGCCAGAUCACCGUCAGUUCCAGCCAAGGAAACCAGUUUGUGACUAUCCCUUUGGUGAGUGCACAUUUAUUUGGUGCAAGAUUAACAAACCUAAAGUAAACAGACAAAGAGACAGGCUCUGGAGCAGUGUGAGGAGGUGGCAAUAAAAAGGGAUGAUAAAGAGCAUGAAAACAUAAUCUGCAGCCAGCCAUAGAAAUUCCCUACUCCCCAGGGGCUGUUUUACAGAACUGGUUCUCUCUCGCAAACUGUAAAUAAUGAAGGCAGGGUCUGUAGCAGGGUGCAGAAGCAGCGUUAGGAGCUGAUUGGAAAGAGGAAGGUGCUAAGCACUGCAUGGAAGCGGAGAGCAUCGCUGUUCCUCUGCUGCUCAAAGCACUGGAAUCACCCCAAGCGAUUGAGCCCUUGCCAAGUAAUUCACCACUCUGUGAACAAGACCCUGCUUCUUGUUUGUGUUUGCUGAUCUGAUGCAGUUCCUAGUGCUUAGUGGUUUAACAGAACUCUUCAGGAGACACUCUAUUUAUCACUGAUAAAUCGCUGAUGAAAUCUAAGAUUCAGUUAUAAAGCGAGAGCUCAGCCACAGCUGUAUGAAAGGCUUUCCUCUGGCUUAGAAAUACACCAGUGAAGAUACUCGAUACGAUAACCCUGCACAACCCCUGCACUGCUCAGUGUUUCUUUCAGGCUUUUGCUCUUAAGGCAUAAUUAUUGUUUCUGGAUAAUGAUUGAAAAGAUCUGUAGGUUCAUCCCAUGCAAGACCAGCAUCACCCCGUCCUCAACCAACUCUCUGCUCCUUUACACACAGAGUGAAGCAGCUGAACUCAGCAAAGAGCUUCUCUGUUCUAAUAAGUUUUGUGUUUUCAACACUGCUGGUGCCAUCACCUCCCUUGCAUAAAGCACAUCAGUGGCUGGAUGCUUGGAGAAGUGGCUGUCUUAGUAUGUUUCAGGGGUCCUUUCUGUCUUGUUCAAGCAGUGCCCUAAAAGCAGUGAAUUCACACCCUUUUCUGUACAAAACCUUGGCAAGUCCCCUCAUCUCACUGCACAGUGUGCUUCAGGUACAGGGAUGGGGAUGAUUUCCUCUCCUUGCAGGUGUGGGUUGAGGAUAAAGCCCAUGAAAAACUUGGAAACAUUCCUAAGAAUUCCCCAUCUGCCUUUGAACCAGGACCUCCACCUAUUUUCUUAUCAGCUGCUCAAGUAACAGAUGGCAUAAACAACUGCUUUGCAAGCUCUUUUUUGAGCUGCACUAGACACGUAACUAGAACGUGGAAACAGCCUAGUGUGGAGAAGACCACACUGCAAAUCUUCUAGGUGAUUUUCAAGGGUUUUUGGGUUUCCAACCCAAACCAUUCUAUGAUUCCAUGAUUCUUCCUUUGUGUGUAUCCAUUAUUUCCCAAUAAUAGAUACAGUGUUGAUGCUCUCUCUGGAUCGUGAUCUCCACUACACUGAUACAAUGCAGCAACUCCAUUGACUUUCUCAUCUGUGUUGCCCAUAAAGGUGCUGCAGUACAAAAUGCUUUCUGCUCUGCAUUCUGCUUUCAUUUCCAUGCAUUUCUUGCCUGAUACCAGAGUGGAAGUAACACCAGCAUAGUUCAGCCUUCACCUCUUCUUGGCAUGAUUUAUGUACCUCAUACAGCAGCUCUAGGACAUAUUAUUCUCAUGUAUACUAUGCUCCAGCAUAUUUUCUUCUCAAACUAACUUGAUACCUCUAAACAGAAGCAACACUUGGGCAGAGACAUGAAACAGAAGUUGAAACAGUGGGAAAAAAGUGAUUGGGCCCUGCUGCAUUGAAAGGAAAUCCCACAUUAAGCCCAUUUCCACUGUGAUCCCUGUGAAGGGUACAGGCUCUACAUCAGUGGGACACAAGGAGUUCUGUCGACAUCAGUAUACAUGGUAUUUGAUUAAGAAAUGCAAAUGUAUGGAUGUUAUUUAUGGCUUGUGUAGGGGUGCUGGGGAUCUGGUUGGACUGAAGGUUGGUGUGAAAUGUGACACGAACCUGAAUCUCACCUUCUCUAGUCAGCUACGUGCUAAAAAUUGAAGAUACAUCAUGGUUUGUCUAAGCUCUUUAACACUUAACACUCUGGCUGUUCUUAUAGGAAAGGGCAUUUAAUUGCAAUGAGUAGUUUAGGAGUAUUUUAAUUCCAGUUAGUAGCUUAGGGUCAUUUUAGUUGCAAUUAGUAGUCUAGGGGUAUUUCAGUUGCAAUGUAGUGGGGAGCACUACCUCUACAAUACAGUUUCAUCAGUGUGGCAUUACUUGAACAACAGGCCACGAUUCUGAUUGAGGUAAAUCUGCUCCUAAACAAAUAAAGCUAACUGACAACAGGGUACUCCUAAAGAAAGAAACAAAAACCCAAGGAAGAGAGCUACCUGCUAAGCUAACUUACGUUGCUUAAUAGAGGAAAAAGAAGGUAGACAGGGAAUAUGCAGUAUUUCAAUUGGGUAAACACUGGAGAGGGCAAAACAACUGAGCUAAAAGAGUUUUUUGGCACCGGAGGAAAUUAGUGUAAAGUGGUAUGAAUAAUUCGGAGGCUGAAAAUGAAAUGAAUGUUUCUAAGCAUCUGAAGAAUGAAGCAACCGUUUCCAGUAAAAGCCAUGGGAGCAAGGGUCUGAUUUGGCUUCAAGGCAGAGUUUAUUGCUGGCUAUAAAGUGAGUCUGGCUUUGGUGAACCAGGAGGUACCUUUGGGUCUCAGGAAUGACAGGGCAUGGCUCCCAAAGAUUUGGGAGUUUCCUUGUUGCACUGUCAAUA